This 86-nucleotide transfer RNA is filed under the name Verrucomicrobiota bacterium. RNAcentral's name for it is "Verrucomicrobia bacterium (activated sludge metagenome) tRNA-Leu". It matches the Rfam family "tRNA". From Rfam's summary of the family: Transfer RNA (tRNA) molecules are approximately 80 nucleotides in length. Their secondary structure includes four short double-helical elements and three loops (D, anti-codon, and T loops). Lineage: Bacteria; Pseudomonadati; Verrucomicrobiota. The record is from RNAcentral.
GCCCCUGUGGUGGAAUGGUAGACACUAGGGACUUAAAAUCCCUUGCCUGAAAAGGCGUGCCGGUUCGAGUCCGGCCGGGGGCACCA